AGAUUGAACGCUGGCGGCAUGCUUUACACAUGCAAGUCGAACGGCAGCACGGGGGCAACCUUGGUGGCGAGUGGCGAACGGGUGAGUAAUGCAUCGGAACGUAUCCUUAAGUGGGGGAUAACGCAUCGAAAGAUGCGCUAAUACCGCAUAAUCUCUGAGGAGAAAAGCAGGGGAUCGCAAGACCUUGCGCUUUUGGAGCGGCCGAUGUCUGAUUAGCUAGUUGGUGAGGUAAAGGCUUACCAAGGCUUCGAUCAGUAGCUGGUCUGAGAGGACGACCAGCCACACUGGGACUGAGACACGGCCCAGACUCCUACGGGAGGCAGCAGUGGGGAAUUUUGGACAAUGGGGGAAACCCUGAUCCAGCCAUGCCGCGUGAGUGAAGAAGGCCUUCGGUGUAAAGCUCUUUCAGCCGGAACGAAAGGUUACGUAAAGUACCGUAGACUAAUGACGUACGAAGAAGAAGCACCGACUAACACGUGACCAGACACGCGACGUAA
RNAcentral lists this ribosomal RNA (497 nucleotides) under uncultured soil bacterium. RNAcentral describes it as "bacterial SSU rRNA". It matches the Rfam family "Bacterial small subunit ribosomal RNA", at positions 26 to 523 of the family's 1533-position model. The record is from RNAcentral.